RNAcentral lists this non-coding RNA (45 nucleotides) under Trichobilharzia regenti. The record is from RNAcentral. Lineage: Eukaryota; Metazoa; Platyhelminthes; Trematoda; Strigeidida; Schistosomatidae.
AUACAGUUGACGAGUCACAAAUAGGACGAAAUGCGCAUCCUGAAU